GCCCUCUUAGCACAGUGGUAGUGCAGCGGUUUUGUAAACCGAAGGUCGGGAGUUCAAAUCUCUCAGAGGGCACCA
RNAcentral lists this transfer RNA (75 nucleotides) under Sheuella sp. RNAcentral's name for it is "tRNA-Thr". It matches the Rfam family "tRNA". Rfam says of the family: Transfer RNA (tRNA) molecules are approximately 80 nucleotides in length. Their secondary structure includes four short double-helical elements and three loops (D, anti-codon, and T loops). The record is from RNAcentral. Lineage: Bacteria; Pseudomonadati; Pseudomonadota; Betaproteobacteria; Burkholderiales; Alcaligenaceae.